UCUCUGGUGUCUCAGUUGGUAAAGAAUCUGCCUGCAAUGUGGGAGACCCAGGUUCGAUCCCUGGCUGGAGAA
Molecule: non-coding RNA, 72 nt
Organism: Odocoileus virginianus texanus
Lineage: Eukaryota; Metazoa; Chordata; Mammalia; Artiodactyla; Cervidae
Source: the annotation of a RefSeq genome assembly